Apodemus sylvaticus (European woodmouse) is the source of this 368-nucleotide long non-coding RNA. RefSeq lists it as uncharacterized. The record is from RefSeq and is a predicted model, not a curated record. The transcript is spliced from 3 exons. NCBI's taxonomy places the organism in Eukaryota, Metazoa, Chordata, Mammalia, Rodentia, Muridae.
GCAAGCGGGGAGCGCGGCAGGGAGCGGCCCUGGCUGCGGGGUCGCGGCCAGUGGGGAGGUGGUGCAGGGCGCAGGACCGCUCAGGAUCCCAGGUGGACUCUGCGCUCCCGAAACCAGGAUCAUCACAGCUGACCCACGGGGAGACUGAAGGAGGAGGGCAUCCGGCCAGUUUGGCUAUUGCAGUUGUGUGUUGUCCCUGAGCAGCAGGGAGGCUCACAGAGGCUACAUGAGGAGAAAUUAGAGUGUCUGUCCCCUCAUCCAGACAUUUUGCAAACAGGAUAUGGCAGGAUCAGCCAUUGCAGCAUUUCCGUAGAAGCCAGCCCCACCCACAGAUACAGGGUGAACCUCAGAGGGGUGGGGAAGCGGGU